This 492-nucleotide ribosomal RNA is filed under the name uncultured bacterium. RNAcentral's name for it is "partial 16S ribosomal RNA". It matches the Rfam family "Bacterial small subunit ribosomal RNA", at positions 36 to 507 of the family's 1533-position model. The record is from RNAcentral.
CUUUCCCUCUGUCGGUAUGCCUAACACAUGCAAGUCGAACGGCAGCACAGUAAGAGCUUGCUCUUACGGGUGGCGAGUGGCGGACGGGUGAGGAAUACAUCGGAAUCUACUUUUUAGUGGGGGAUAAUGUAGGGAAACUUACGCUAAUACCGCAUACGACCUACGGGUGAAAGCAGGGGAUCUUCGGACCUUGCGCGAUUGAAUGAGCCGAUGUCGGCUUAGCUAGUUGGCGGGGUAAAGGCGCACCAAGGCGACGAUCCGUAGCUGGUCUGAGAGGCUGACCAGCUACACUGUAACUGAGACACGGCCCAGACUCCUACGGGAGGCAGCAGUGGGGAAUAUUGGACAAUGGGCGCAAGCCUGAUCCAGCCAUACCGCGGGGAGGAAGAAGGCCUUCUGGUUGUAAAGCCCUUUUGUUGGGAAAGAAAUGCAGCAGGUUAAUACCCCGCUGUUCUGACGGUACCCGAAGAAUAAGCACCGGCUAACUUCGUG